Molecule: non-coding RNA, 70 nt
Organism: Phrynosoma platyrhinos (Desert horned lizard)
Lineage: Eukaryota; Metazoa; Chordata; Lepidosauria; Squamata; Phrynosomatidae
Source: the annotation of a GenBank genome assembly
GCCGGUAUGGUGUUGUGGUUUGAGCACCGGACUACAACUCUGGAGAGCAGGGUUCAAUUCCCUCUGGGCC